This 965-nucleotide long non-coding RNA is filed under the name Pan troglodytes (chimpanzee). Its description in RNAcentral is "long non-coding RNA NONPTRT003972". Lineage: Eukaryota; Metazoa; Chordata; Mammalia; Primates; Hominidae. The record is from RNAcentral.
UGUGUUUAUUUUUAAUCAAAGAAUUACUUUUUUCUUUUUUUUAUUAUUUCAGUAGUUUUUAUGGAACAGGUGGUGUUUGGUUAUGUGGAUAGGUUUUUUGGAAUACUACUCAGCCAUAAAACGGAACAAAAUAAUGGAAUUCCCAGCAACCUGGAUGGAGUCGGAGACCAUUAUUCUAAGUGAAGUAACUCAGUGAGAACAAACAUCGUAUGUUCUCACUUAUAAGUGGGAGCUCUUAAAAGUGGGAGCUAAGCUAUGAGGACACAAAGGAGUAAGAAUGAUACAAUGGACUUUGGGGACUAGUGGGGAAGGGUGGGGGCUGGAUGAAGGAUAAAAGUCUACACAUUGGGUACAGUGUACAUUGGGUUUUUUCCCAUCUAUAACCGUAGAAAGAAAAGAUUAUAUCAGAUGCAUAUUGAUAGAUUUUAAAGGGUGCCAAAAAUAUUUGAAUAUGAACUAUAUAUAAAUUCCUACUGAAGACUAAAUAAACAUUCAUGUAUUUUGGAAUUUGUUUUCUAUUUCUGAUAGACUUAGUUAUUACCAGGAACAGAUGACCAGUUGCAAGAACUGUCACUAUUUUAACAUUCUCCAUCAGCUGUGGCCAUGUUGGAUUUCUGGCACCUGAGCAUUCACAUCCAUCUGUUUAUAGGGCAUUAUGCCCACUCAUGAGGUUUAUUCCAGUUUCAAAAAGUCAUGUGUAAACCAAGAUUGGAAAUAUAUAUUCCUUGAGAAAUAGAGACACAGACACACAAGGGAGAAUGCCAUAUGAAAAUGGAGGCAGAAUGGAGUGAUGCAUCUACAAGCCAAGGAACACCAAAAAUUGCCAGCAACUACUAGAAGCUAGAAGAGGCAAGAAAGGACUUUCUAGAGCCUUUGGAAAGCAUGAUUCUGCCACAUCUUGAUUUUGGACUUCCAGCCUCUAGAACUGUGAGAGAGUAAGUUUCCAUUGUUUUAAACCACCCAAU